GUCUCUGUGGCGCAAUUGGCUAGCGCGUUCGGCUGUUAACUGAAAGGAUGGUGGUUCGAGCCCACCCAGGGACG
Non-coding RNA from Osmerus eperlanus (European smelt), 74 nucleotides. The record is from the annotation of a RefSeq genome assembly. NCBI's taxonomy places the organism in Eukaryota, Metazoa, Chordata, Actinopteri, Osmeriformes, Osmeridae.